CAGCUGAUGGAGCACCCGCGUGAGUGAAGAAGGGUUUCGGCUCGUAAAGCUCUGUUGUUGGAGAAGAACGUGCGUGAGAGUAACUGUUCACGCAGUGACGGUAUCCAACCAGAAAGUCACGGCUAACUACGUGCCAGCAGCCGCGGUAAUACGUAAGUGGCAAGCGUUAUCCGGAUUUAUUGGGCGUAAAGCGAGCGCAGGCGGUUGCUUAGGUCUGAUGUGAAAGCCUUCGGCUUAACCGAAGAAGUGCAUCGGAAACCGGGCGACUUGAGUGCAGAAGAGGACAGUGGAACUCCAUGUGUAGCGGUGGAAUGCGUAGAUAUAUGGAAGAACACCAGUGGCGAAGGCGGCUGUCUGGUCUGCAACUGACGCUGAGGCUCGAAAGCAUGGGUAGCGAACAGGAUUAGAUACC
This 412-nucleotide ribosomal RNA is filed under the name Limosilactobacillus reuteri. RNAcentral's name for it is "bacterial SSU rRNA". It matches the Rfam family "Bacterial small subunit ribosomal RNA", at positions 380 to 786 of the family's 1533-position model. The record is from RNAcentral. Lineage: Bacteria; Bacillati; Bacillota; Bacilli; Lactobacillales; Lactobacillaceae.